GGUUAUGGCUCAGCGGUAAAGCGCUCUGCUCGCAACUGCAAGGCCCUGGGUUCGAUCCUCAGCACCA
This 67-nucleotide transfer RNA is filed under the name Marmota monax (woodchuck). RNAcentral's name for it is "tRNA.Ala". Lineage: Eukaryota; Metazoa; Chordata; Mammalia; Rodentia; Sciuridae. The record is from RNAcentral.